Long non-coding RNA from Callorhinchus milii (elephant shark), 297 nucleotides. RefSeq lists it as uncharacterized. NCBI's taxonomy places the organism in Eukaryota, Metazoa, Chordata, Chondrichthyes, Chimaeriformes, Callorhinchidae. The record is from RefSeq and is a predicted model, not a curated record. The transcript has 2 exons.
CAAGACCCCCCCCCCCCCCCCCCCCCGGGGGCUGAUGAUGAGGAAAGCGAGAAUCUUGCUUUUACAUUUUCUCGGAAAGCAUGUGGUAAAUUUUUUAUUGAGCGCUGAGUAAACAGGUGGCGGAUGCCACACCCACUAACAACCCUCCCUCCACGGCAGUUACUGACUGAACCACAAGCUGAGACGUGAAACAACAACUGAUGCCAACUGUCGCUGUGACCUUCCACGAGAAGCCAAGAGCCCAGAAUUUGGAGAGGACGCGAGACACGACAAACGAGAGGGAACGAGAAAACGAAA